AUUUAAAAUCUCAAAUUUUAAAUUCUAAAUUUUAAAAUUCAAACUUUAAAUAUAAGAUCAAAUUUAAAUUUUAAAAAUAUAAAAUAUCAAAUUUUAAAUUUAAAAAAAUUUAAAAUAUUAAAUGUUAAAUUUAAAAUUAAAAGUUUAAUAUUUAGAAUUGAAAAUUGUAAACUUUAAUUUUUUAUUAUUAAUAAAUUUAUAAAUCUUUUAAAAAUUCUCGCUAAACUUAAAUUUAAUAAAAAAUAAUUUAUUAUAAUAUUUUAUUUUUAUUAUAAACUUAUUAAUGGUACUAUAUUAAUACAUAUUAUUUAUAUUUAAAUAUUAUAAUAAAUUUUAUAAUAAAUUAUAUUUAAAUAUUAUAAUAAAUUAUUUUUUAUUAAAUUUAAGUUUAGCGAGAAUUUUUAAAAGAUUUAUAAAUUUAUUAAUAAUAAAAAAUUAAAGUUUACAAUUUUCAAUUCUAAAUAUUAAACUUUUAAUUUUAAAUUUAACAUUUAAUAUUUUAAAUUUUUUUAAAUUUAAAAUUUGAUAUUUUAUAUUUUUAAAAUUUAAAUUUGAUCUUAUAUUUAAAGUUUGAAUUUUAAAAUUUAGAAUUUAAAAUUUGAGAUUUUAAAUGUUAAAAUUUUAAUUUCAAAUUUUGAAAUUUAAAAGUUAAAAUUUUUAAUUUAAAAAUAUAAACAUAAAAUUUAAAAUUCAAAUUCAAAUAUAAUAAGAGGGUAAUAUCAUUAUUUUUAAUUUAUAACUACCCACUAUCCGUCUUACUCUAUCUUACCUAUACAAAUACUAUUUUUCUUAUUUCCGAGAACAACCUAAUUUUUAUCCAAAUACAAAAUUGAUCUAGUUUUUGUUUAUAUCUAAACUUAUAUCUAUCCCUGAAAUAAACAGUUCUUAUUUAUACCCGAACCAAAUGAUAGCUUAACUUCUAAUCCCAAAAGAAAAUCCGUAUUCAUCUAAAUUAAUGUCCAUACAUCAAGAAUUUAUCUGCUUUUUGCUUAUCUUUCAAUUUUAUUUGAACUGUCCAAUUUUUAUGCAGAGAAAAGAUUCAAAACCGAGUAAAAAUAUACAAAAUUUAUCUGAACUAUGAAUCAUUUUAUAUCAACAAUUCAAACUUUCAAAAUUUUGAUUUUUACUAUCCAACUUUUUAAUUUAUUUGGUUUUAAUCAGCCAGUAAUAUUUCGACUUCAAAAUUUAAGCUAAUAAUUACUUAAUUUAAUAAAUUUAUAGUUACAAGAAUUGCACAAAGUAUACUAAUAAAACUUGUAAAGAUAAAUAACUUGAAGACAAAAUGCCUUUGAUGGACUCAAAUCAAACAAAUUGAAAAAUUAAAUAGUAAAAUUAAAUUUUUUAAAGACUGGGUAGCCUAAUCAAAAUGAUCCAUAGUUCACUUAGUCAGUUUUUGCAUGUGUGUAUAUAUAUAUAUUUAUACUAGUGUAAUGACCCGCGCUUCGCGGCGGGAGGUCGUAACGUUGAGAGCUAAUAAUAUGACUUUCAUUAUAUUUAUUUAUCACGAAACAUACAGAUAUAUAUAACAUUCACAUUAUGUAAGAUAACUAAAUAUAUAAUAUAGAUUAUCUAAUACGAUUUGAUGUCUUUGAUAAUACAAAUAUAAUUGAUAAAAUAGUUCUUAGAUCAUUAUGGCCUAUCAGUUCCACUUGAUUUCUUGCGGGUGUUAACUUUGCUUGGUCCUUUUCCAGUUUUCGAACUGCAUACGUAUGAACAAUAUGUCAUAUAUAUAUAUAUAUAUGGUGGAAUAAAAAUACAAAAAAUAUUUUAAAAAUAUUAAUACUUACAAACGUGGUUUUUUCGCUACAGCAGAUGUUUCAAUAGGCAAAUCACUAUCGUUGUUGUCGAGCAUCUUCAUAAAUUGAAUUGGUAUGCAACCACUCAGUCAACAUUGUUUUUUCAAUGCUUGGUCUACGUAAAAGACUUUCUAAAUUUUCAGUAUUGUGGAAAAUAAUAUUAUUCAUUGAAGGAAGAUAUACUCGUAGUCGCUCAACCGAUGGUUCUCUAAAAUGGAUAUCAAAUUGGAACAAACGGCAAGUUGCUUCAUAUGCAGAUAAAUAGAGUUGAACUGUGCUACUAUUAGUAGCAAAAUCCCAUUGUUGCUACCAGUUUUUUAGCCUUUGGAUCAACUCUUUUUAUUAUUUCUAACCAUUGGAUUAAAUACUAUAACCCAGUGGGGACCACUCAACCCUAGGGGGACCACUCAACUCUAACCGACUAAUAUCAUCCUGACCCUACAAUUUUUCAUCCAAGGUGUCACGCCCCGGGGUCCCCUUUUAGUUUGAAACACCGCGGAAAAGCGUUUAAAUUUUUUUUUAAAAAAAAAAAAAAAACCUGACCCCAGAGUAUGCUUGAUCCGCCACAAAUACAGGGAAUCCACUGUUCACACGGACCGAGUCUCCCCUGUAUUUGCACGGCGUCGCACAAGUACCAAAGUACAAACAGUAUACAACCACAACUAAAUGAAUAUACAGAUAGCUAUACAUUCAUACAUUCACCAUUCACACCGUAGUUUUACAUUCGAUGUUUAAACAAAAGUCCACGAAAAAUCUUUUGAAAACUGUUCCAUACGCGAAAACUUUUAUCUUUUAUAAAAGCUACCACGAGGGGUAGAAAACCUUUUAUUUUACCAAAUCCAGAAAUCUUUUUAUUACAUUCAUGAAAGUCCACAUAUUCCAAUAUAAUAAAAAUACUAAAUCAUAUAAACUGACUAAGCUAUAACAACAUAAUAGUAGGGAUAAAACUAAACCGAUAAUCUGGGUCGGAAGCUCUAUCGACCACUACGAACGUACCUCACGUCUCGUCCCAAAACUCAACGCCUGCAAUACCUGAAAAAUGGUGGGGGAUGUGAGAACAUGUAAACAUGUCUCCCCUCCCAGUGGGUACCGCAAGCCGACGAGGGCGAGGAGUACUCACCGGAUCAGGAAGAUAAACAAUAGUAUAUACGUAAGUGGAAUACAGUAGCAACGAUCACAACGAAAGAGAUAUAGAUAUGCAAGAACAACUACCGCUACUGUAAAUAGAACGACAAGCGUACAUACAGGGAUAUCCGACUAUAAUAGCAAGACAAGGGUGCGAAGGAGCUAAACUGCUUAACGGCUACCGCUACUGUAACUGGAACAGAAAGCAAACCUGGAUAAACACUAUAGUGGCAAGACGACUAUAAAGCAAGACUGUAAGUAUGCAUCAACCGGUCGCAUAUAUCAAAAUACCCAAUCUAACCCUGCCAUGUUGGUCCGGAGACCUCAGGCUCGUGCCAUAUCCACUCAACCUGCAUAUAACCCAAUCUAGCCUUUGGGCUCACGGGUCGGACGUACGACCACUUUUCCGGAAAAGAACACUCCCUGCGGUGGAUCAGACCGCUAGUGUUCGUGAAAUGCUAACGAGUGGUGGCGAUCGAUGCUGAUAUGCUCAAUAGCCAACCGUCGGCGACCAGCCGACAAUCACUGCCCCUCUGGGCAUACCGACCGUGUAAGGACUGAGAUUUUUUUUUGACAGUGCAACUAAACUCUCUGUUGACGAUGUUUAUGUGUGUAAUUUAAUUACAUAAGCACUCGUCAAGUUUCAGGAGAAAAUGAGCUUAAACGGAGAAGUUACGCGAUUAUUAGUUUUCACUUAAGUGAAUAGUAACUCCGGUUUUCCGGAGAAGCCACGGAGUAGAGUUGGCUUCUGGUGCGUAUCGGACUCCGUUCAUAUCAGUCCAAUAGCUCGUUUCGACCGGUUCAGCUGUUCUAGAACUAGUGGCGCUGACGGAUUUUGAGUUCGACGCACGGAUUUCGAGAAAAUCCAAAAAUACAUAUUUUAUAUGUAUUUGUGUGUGUGAUUCCUUCUAUUGGAAGAAGGUUGGAUUUUGUCGUGAAUCCGUGGUCGAUCGAGACGAAACGAAAGUGUAGCUUUGUUGUCUCCGAGGUGCUGAUUGCACUGGUACGAUCCGUUCGCAAAUCUGACGGACGGAUCUGCAGAGAUUGCACGUUGAUCGAGGAGGGGUCGGUGUGGGGAAAACGGUAUUUUUGCAAAAGUCGCAAUAUUUUAUGUACCGUUUCGCUUGAGAUCGCACGUGGAGGGGUAUUAGUGUGUAUUACUCGCGCUGUGAAGGACUGAGUUUGGAAUUAUUUAUCCUUGAGGGGCUUUCUUGCAAAGUACACCUUGUAGAUAUGCAUUGUUAGGGCUUUCUUGCAUGGAACCCUAACCCUAAGCCACCUAACUUACCCUAACCCACCCUAGCCGCCUCUGCUCUCGCCAUGCUCGCACCCCGGCCGCCGGCGGGAGCUCCGGCCGCUGGGAACUCCGUGCCUGGCCACUCCUCUAUCUUUUCCUCCACCCAACCCUUACCACCUUUAUCUCGGAUCAACCUGAGUGAUCUACUCCUUGGGCCCUCUCCUCUGGCCGUGGUCCCCAUCUCCGGCGAAGGCCCNCGACCACGACUGCCAUCAAGACCUGAUAUAGCUUAUGUGAGGACACAGGAUAGCCAGCCAAGAACGCAAGCAUGAAAAUCAACUGUAGCUCGUCAUAGAUGUAUGAUAAAAAUAAAUGAGACGGACCAACAAGAUACACAUCAUAGGACAUAUCCCCAUCUCAUCUACCGUAAGCAUAUAUGAUAUGAACACUGGACCAACCAGCCAAGAGGACAAACGUAGCCACUGGACAAACCAGCAAGCAAUGAAAGGCAUGAAACUGGAUAGAGCCAGCCAAGUGCAACAAUGAACUACUGGAUGUGCCAGACAGUGCGGGGCCCCAGGGGAAAAACAAACUUUGUGUCGCCUUUUCGCAAAUUUUAAAAAAAAAACUUUUGGACUGGGGUCUCAUACAGUCUAGGCGGUGUUUAUGUCCCUUAGGUGACAAGUGUGCCUGUCUCAGAGGGGACAUAAACGUGCCGCAGUGUGUUCAUGUUUUCAUGUUUGUCGUAUGUUGGUGUUGAUUUACUUAUAUGUCUAUUGAUAUGUAAGUAUGUAAGUGGUAAGUGUGGCAUCAAAAUGUAAGUUACAAAUUUGUUUUCAGGUGCUUUUAGAAAACUUUUGACAAGGUACGCACUUUUGAAAAUAGAAAAUAUUUUCGAUGGUGCUCCCCAUCUUUUGGAAAAUAAAAUGGUUUAGGUCUUUAGGAAAAUUAUGCAAGUACUUUCAGGUAUAUAAGGUUACAUUAUUUUUUUUAUGACUUGGUAUAUUUGACUGAUUCGAUAUUGUUGUCUUAUCAUCCCUAUUUUGAUUUGGCUAUUGGACCCAGCCUUCGAGAUAGCUGGCGAUGUUUGCAUGGAGUGCAGAGCAGGGUUGUGGGUUACGGACGUUAUGGACUUUUUGUCACCCCCUCCACUCUUGUACUUUUGUACAAAGGGGAGGGUCACCCAUGGCGUUCGGCUUCUUCCGCUCCUCAUGAGUGGCCUAGUCCUUCUCUAUUGGUUGUCAUACCCAUUCAUUGCAUGUCAUCGUUAUUAUUACUUACUUUCUCUGUAUAUAUACUUUCUUUCAUGUUGAUGGCGAUGACAUUACUUGUUGACUUACGUAUGUACAUUGUUCUGAUAUCAUCGUUCUGUUACAUUGCUUUCUUGACUUCUAUAUGUUCAUUGGUGACGAUGAUAUCAAUAUACGCAGUUGGCUUGUUCAUCAGGUUUCAUGGGUUAGAUUUGGCGGCACAGCCAGAUUCCUGGAGUCCGUUUUCGGUGAUAGACGAGUGUGGACCGUACAUUGGGAUCGUGUUUCUCUUGUGGCGACCCGAGUGCCCAGCCUACAUGCUGGUGAAAAGGCCUUUUCUUGUGGGAGAACGCCACCUAGUCUGGCGACCAUAAGCACUUUACGCUUGCUCACCACUGCUAGCUACGACUAUACGAGUUAUCGGUUGGCAGCCGCGGGUCGGCUGUUAGUGACGGAGAGACCCGUAUGGCUGGCACAUCCAGUAGUUCAUUUUUUGCACUUGGCUGGCUCUAUCCAGUUACAUGCCUUUCAUUGCUUGCUGGUUUGUCUAGUGUCUACGUUUGUCCUCUUGGCUGGUUGGUCCAGUGUUCAUAUCAUUUGUACUUACGGUAGAUGAGAUGGGGAUAUGUCCUAUGAUGUGUAUCUUGUUGGUCCGUCUCAUUUAUUUCUAUCAUACAUUUAUGAAGAGCUACAGUUGAUUUACAUGCUUACGUUCUUGGCUGGCUAUCCAGUGUUCUCACAUAGCUAUAUCAGGUCUUGACGGCAGUCGUGGUCGGCUGUUAGGAUGGGGAGUGCCAUGUGGCUGGAGUUUCCAGUAGCUUGUUGUCUUCAGUUCUUUGUCUGGUUGGGUUAUGUAUUACGUUGUUGGCUGGUUGGUCCAGUUGUCUAUAUUCUAUUUUCGUGGCUAGGUGAUCCAGUGGCUUUGCUUCAUGCUCUUAGGAUGGGGAGUCCCAUGUGGCUCGAGUUUCCAGUAGCUCCUGCCCUGGUUAGUACAGUCGACCCAGUGUAUACAGUAUUUGUAUGAGAUGACACAUGUGUACUCAUGUGAUAUUAGUAGGCAUUGCCGCAAUCGGCUCUUAGGCUGGGGAAUCCCAUAUAGCUGGAGUACCCAGUAGCAUACCUCAUGUUCAUGACAUGAAGAUGUGUACUAUGUAGCUUUGGCCUUGUUUCAUGCUCCUGGCUGGUGAGCCCAGUGACCAUAGUAUACACCGAUUUGAUGAAAUGAGGAUGUGUACUAUAAUCCGUAUCUUUGGAUACUCAUCUCAUAUUAUCUUUGUUGCCCCUACGUUCGAGUUAUAGAUUAUACUAUUAUCGUCGUCUUCUUAUCCCUAUCUACUUUACAGUGGCUCGCACGUGGUGACAUGGCUGAAGCCUAACUUCAUGGGUGGACAUGUUGACAACGCGGACAGAGGACUGACGUCUUCCUGCAGUUGACCUGGAUUCCUCCCAGGUGACCCAAUCACAGAUUGGAUGUCGAUUAUUGGUGAUCUAGGUGUUGGAUGUUCGUUUGGGUACCUCUAGCCAAAGGGUUUGGCUAGCGGCAUUAUGCGGCCUUCAGGGCAUUAACGUGCCCCUGAGGCGGCCCUCGGUGCUUGACAGGGCCUUGUAUGGCUGAGCUCGAUGCUCAGUGGACGACGGUGAUUUGUAUUUAUUAGCACGUAGUACCGUCGCUUGUGUUGAGGAGCACAGCUUUGUUAAUAGCAGCCUAUUAGCAAAGCUAAGCCCAAGGGCCUUCACAGAUUAAGCUGUGGCCUUGGGUGGCAGCCAGUGGGCAGUAAAAGCUUGAGAGCUUUACUGCGUUCACUGGUCGGUUGUUCCGAGUCGCUGAUGCGUUUUCGAGUGCUUCGUGGCAGCCUUAUUAAGGCUUGGCUUGAGCGCAAGAAAGCCGCCUAAAGCAGCUUUUUGCGCGGCCUUAACGGAAAAGCUAAAAGCGCUUCCCAGACCCCAGAACCUGUUGUUCAGGUCUCCAGUUUGUGUGAGUUUGUGUGACGGGUGUCAUCGGUGUUCCACGUGUUAACGUGUUUUCGGGGACAUAAAUGUAUUUUAGGGUUAUAAAAUACAUUUAGCCCGCUACUGUACCGAGCAAGCGCGUUUGGCUCCCGAAGGCUCCAGAUGUUUCUGUGCUUGUCUGUUCAGAGCUGCAUGACCUCCGGCACGAGUACUAGACCUCGUGUUUCCGAGUGACACCCUUCGCGCCCUCGUUGGGCUUCAAGACGCUUGUCGCGCGUCAGCCCCUUCUAGUGCGGUUUCGUCCCGAUUGACCUGUGACAACUAGGUUUCACUCCACUCGUGACACUGGUCUUGACUGGUUGCUAGUGGCACGAGUGGAGGCCUCCGUAGUCCUGUCGGAGCCUAGCGGCCUAUUCGCACGCGUUUGGGUUUUGUCGUCGGUUUGUCCGAGUUAUCCCAGCUGUUACGGCCUUGUCGACUUGCCUCAGAGGGGCUGUCUUAGAUUCCACUCGUGCUACUAGUCGUUAAACGAUGCUAGUAGCACGAGGGAAGGCGUCUCUAGUCCCUCCGAGCCCUUCUAGUCUUGCGUUUUGUAGAUUUUAUCCGGGAUAAAGCCCGAACCGGCCUCGUUCCAACGAGGCCGGCCGAAGGCCGCCGUGCGGCUCCACGCGCGUCCGGUCUCUACCCACGCCCCCUCCACUCCUUAUGCUACGAGUGGAGCCAACCGCCGCCUCUCUCUGCCGCCGCUGCCGCCUUGCUCGGCUCGGGCGUGUUCGAUUCCGUGCCAGGUCGCCGAGGAGGGUCGCUGCCGCUACCGGCCCUGUCCAGCCCCUGCUGUCGCCGCCCAGGGGUCUACGGCCUUCUCCUCUUCCCUCCGCCGCCCGCCGCCGUCGCCGUCGGGUGCCGAGCUCGCGACAGCGAGCUCGAUCCGAGCCAACGUCUGGACCCGCCGCCGCGGGUCCCAAGUCCCGCCGCCGCCGCCGCCGGGCUUCCCGCCGCCGCUGGCCGGCCCUCCCAGCCACCCUGUGUCCUCUGUCGGCGCCCUCGAUGGGGUCCACCGACGCCGCGCCUCCUCUCCCGCGUGUCUCUGCGACAAUCCUACCCCUCAGGGUACACCGACCUCAAAGGUCAUCGACGACGGGACUCAUGAAGCUGACUCACUAGGUCACAAACAUACCAAACAGUGGAACUGAGUAAACUAUAAUCAUCCGUCGGCGUUAGCCGACAAUCCCACCCCUUAGGGUAUAUCGACCUCAUGGGUCAUCGAACGGAGUACAAGAACUGACCAACCAGGUCAUCGAAAACGAAGUACGAGGACCGACCACUCGGGUCACUGGAAUCAUAUGUGGCUAAACUACUCUACUCCUACACAUGAUAUCAGGCAUAGAAACAUAUGAGUAGAGUAUAACAGAAACAACAGGGAUGCAAGCUCAAUAUCAAAUAUGAUAAUAACAGCAGAAGAAUAGAGAUAGAAGAAAUGUCACCGAGCGUGCACCACUAUACCGACUUCGGAUUGAAGUACCCACCUGUACAAAUGCUGCGCCUGUCUCCUGACUGCAAAAGGACGUCAACCGGACCUAAGGAAGGUCCACUGGGUUAGUGUCUAACCUACAGCUAAUAACCACUAAAUCCACAACCUACAAGCAAACCCAUGGAGAUCGGUUUCCCAAACCGAUCGCCGUAAUACGCCGGAAGUCCCGUAAUCGCACGGGGACUCCGCCGGGAGCCACGAACUGUCCCGGAACAUACCGACUCGAGCUACGAGUCACCUGCUGCCACUAAACAUAAAUAAUCGUGCAUCAUGGCAGCGAACACAACUCCUCAUGUCGAAACAAUUAUCGUCGGAUAAUCGUUUCGAUUCGGGUCCCCGGAAGUGUCUAAUUCGACACCGGAACCCACCGUCGCUCACCCGUCAUUUCCGAACUCUCGAAAUGACGCAAGUGACCAGCCAACAAGGCUCAGCGACUACGCAAAAGCUCACGAAGCACCAUCGGAAUAAUUCCGAACCGAACCCGCGUUCCGUCGGCGGAUUUCGCCGAAAAACGCACCGGAAAUGCAUUUUCGAUCUUCGCAAGGGUCUGGGGCCUUGGACAAUCAGUCCAGAGGUUAUCCUCAACCAACACUUGCUGCCAACAGCAGCUACGACGAACCAAAAUGCAUAAAAGCCCUCCUGAAUACCUGAAAUCGCAUUAUUUCAUGCGAUUUCGGCGCUUUUAUGGUCCGACAACGCAAACCAGAGGUCAAACAGCCAAGACGAGACUCUCGCUGACUGGUCUCGGCGUGCCGGAGGCCGUGCUCACCUUUCAGAGCACUGCCGGCCACUGUGGCACGCGCACGGGCGAUGCAAAAUUAGUGAAACAGCGCGCACAAUAGGAAAAGCAUGCUUAUCUCGCUAACCAGGGGCUCGUUGACCCUAAGUGAGGUGAGCACUGUGAUCAGGACUGACUGACGAUCACCGUGCUCACCUCCGGAGGCAUCGGAACAGCCUCAGGUCGCUGGAACAGUGAGUAGAACAGAAAACACUACGCAGAAAGGCUGAAAACAAGCUUACCGGCCAGGGGAGAGCUAGGGUUGGCCGCCGGUGGCUGGACGGCGGGCGGCCCGACCAGGGGAGGGUGCGGCCGGUCGGUGGAGUCCGGGGCACCUGCUGGCUGGCGGCGGGAGGCGGCCAGUUGCGCGGCGGAGGAGAUCAACUCGAUCUCUUGCUCUCGGGUUCAAUGCUUCCCGGCGGCGUGGCGGCGGUCGGAGGAGGUCGGGGCGGCGACGGGGCGGGGGGUGAGAUUCUGCCAGAGGAUGGUGGUGCUCGGGCUCACAAGCUUCCCCGAGCACAGCAGCCAACAAGAUGCAAGUCGGGGCCCGGAGGAAAAUCGAGAGGAGGCCGGGGUGGCUCUUCCGGCGGCCGGACGAGCUCGCCGGCGGCCGGGACGCGCGCACAAGUUGGGCGGGGACCAGCUGAGGUCGGCUAGGGCUAGGUAGGGAGCACGGUUGCAGGGUCUAGGGUUCCUCAUGGAUGAAACCCUAGGAAUACAAUAUAAACAACGGCCACUUUGCACCAAAGUCCUCCGAAACAGAAAAUUUGCAACAGAGACCUUCACAGCGCGAGUAAAUCGCGUGUACGCACCUCCACGUCCGACCUCGUGCGAUUCGGUACAUAAAAUAUGGGGACUUUUGCGAAGUUUCCGAUUUGCCACAAUCGACCCCUCUCCGAACAUCAUGCAAAAUCCGGCAAUCCGUUCAUCGGAUUUCCGAACGGAUUGCACCAUCGCGUUCAGCACGACGAAGGCAAUGAAACUAGAAUUUGUUUCGAUCGAUUUUGUUGCCGAUUCGCGACAAAACCCAACGCUCUCCAAUUAACACAUAAAUUACACAUAUACCAAUGUGUAAACCCAACAAAACCCAUUUCGCAUCAGAAAUGGACUUCCCUACUACAAGUAGGGACCCAAAACAACCUUCACCCUACCCCAAGUCGUAAGCACGGAACACAAGGAGUUUCACAAUGCACGAAAGGCAAGGAACGAAAAUCAUCUUUUUGAUAAAACUCCUUUUUUCUCAAAAACCGUGCAUCAGAUCUGAAAUCCGUCAGUGCCAUUGGUUCCAAAACAGCUGAACCGGUCGAAACGAGCUAUUGGACUGAUAUGAACGGAGUCCGAUACGCGCCAGAAGCCAACUCUACUCCGUGGCUUCUCCGGAAAACCGGAGUUACUAUUCACUUAAGUGAAAACUAAAAGUCGCGUAUCUUCUCCAUUUUAGCUCAUUUUCGCCCGAAACUUGACGAGUGCUUAUGUAAUUAAAUAACACACAUAAACAUCAUCAACAGAGAGUUUAGUAGCACUGUCAAAAAUCUCAGUCCUUACACAAGGGUUAAAAACUUGAUAGCAAAAAGAGUUUUUUACUAUUAAUAGUAUUCCAUCCUAAUUCCAGAUAAAUAUCUGCAAUCUAUAUAUGUUUUGAUUUCAUCAAUCUCUUGUUUUUUCUUUUUGUGAAUAUCAAUGCUAUAUAUAGAAAAAAUUAGGGGGAGGAUGCAUGCACUCUCAUGAUUAGAAAGAUAGCAAAAGGACAAGACAAUAUUCUAUGUACUAUGAAUUUUUUUGUUUCAUGCACCCUGUGUAUGUAGUAUGAAAAAUUUUGUAAGAAAAAAGGUUAUCUUGUGGGUGAGAUACUAUUUCUAUUGGACUUAAUAAAAUAAAAGACAAUUUAUAAAUAAUCCAUGGUGAAAUUGAAAUGAAAACAAGAGAUUUAGAAUUUUCUGUAAGGAAUAAAUUUUUUUUUAGAAGAAAAUAUACAGUGUAAAAAAAAUAUUAAACUUUGAAUAUAUGCUGGAAUUAUUUUUCUUAGGCUAGAUUUAAAAUUUCGUGUCAUUCUGACACUCCAAAAAUGAAGACGGAAAAUAGUAGCAAUCCGAUAAAGAUUUUAGUUGGUAGACCUUUCGGCGACAAAGAAAAUUAAGGUUCAAAACUGUAAAAUUAAGAUGACGUUCUUCUGAUUGAUUUUAACUGAGCUUGCUUUUAAAAUCAUUAUUGUUUAACAUGAUACAGAGGGUGCAUGGAAUAAAAUUUUCUAUAGUACAUGCCCCUUUAACAUAGCCUCUUGCCUUUAAAAUCAUUAUUGUUUAACAUGAUACAGAGGGUGCAUGAAACAAAAUUUUGCAUAGUACAUGCCCAUUUAACAUAGCCCAUGUGAGUCUAUGUGAGGGAGGGAAAGCAUGUGAGGGAGAGAGAGAAAACCCAUAUAAAAAAAGGCCACGUGGCUCGAUGGAGAAACGGUAUUUGAUUUCAACUUUAGUUUAGAGUUUAAUAGAGAGAGAAAGAGAGUGAGAGAGAGAGUACAACUCUUGUACUUUUAAAAGCAUAAAGGUUUGUGUACUUUCAAGUUAUUUUUCAUGAUGGAUAUCUGAUUUGACGAUUAGCUCAGUUAGGCAUGACCUAUGUUAUAGAACUAUUUAGAAAUUAAAUUUUAUAAUUUUUUUUACAUCAUUUGCAAAGUUAUCAAAGGAUCUCAAAAAUAUCAAUUUGGCACCUUUACAAAUUCAACU
RNAcentral lists this long non-coding RNA (12390 nucleotides) under Ananas comosus (pineapple). RNAcentral's name for it is "long non-coding RNA (ACOM_LNC007204)". The record is from RNAcentral. Lineage: Eukaryota; Viridiplantae; Streptophyta; Magnoliopsida; Poales; Bromeliaceae.